GAGGAAUAUUGGGCAAUGCCCGCAAGGGUGACCCAGCAACGCCGCGUGGAGGAUGAAUGUCGUAAGAUUGUAAACUCCUGUUAGAGGGGAAGAAUAGUACCGGUUGGACCGGUAUAUGACUGUACCCUCAGAGAAAGCCCCGGCUAACUACGUGCCAGCAGCCGCGGUAAUACGUAGGGGGCAAGCGUUGUCCGGAUUUACUGGGUGUACAGGGCGCGCAGGCGGGAUAAAAAGUCAGUGGUGAAAUCCUACAGCUUAGCUGUAGAACUGCCUUUGAUACGUUUAUUCUUGAGUUCGGGAGAGAGAGACGGAAUUCCAGGUGUAGUGGUGAAAUACGUAGAUAUCUGGAAGAACACCAGUUGCGAAGGCGGUCUCUUGGUCCGACACUGACGCUGAGGCGCGAAAGCGUGGGGAGCAAACA
RNAcentral lists this ribosomal RNA (421 nucleotides) under uncultured bacterium. RNAcentral describes it as "bacterial SSU rRNA". It matches the Rfam family "Bacterial small subunit ribosomal RNA", at positions 356 to 774 of the family's 1533-position model. The record is from RNAcentral.